GCUACAUUUACACAACUACCCCCAUCAAUAAUCAUGCUACACAAUUUUCCAUUCACUAGACAUCUAGAAUGAAAAAUUUUCUCUCUUUGCAACUUAACCCCCUCUUUAUCAUUCCUUACUUGCACAUUCAAAGCACGUCUAGAAACCAACAAUCUACCUUCCAUAGGCGUUUCCCCAUCACUACAAUCCUCCAAAGGAGGCAUUUCAUCCUCCACAUCAUUCUCAUCAUCCGUUUCAACAUCAUCACCGCACAUCACCAUUACCCUUUUAUUUGGGCAUUGAGAUGUAAUAUAACCAAAACUCAAGCAUCUAAAACACUUGAUAUCUCUAUUCCUAGGAGUUUGGGAGUUAGAAAUACCUUUGUUUUA
Molecule: long non-coding RNA, 368 nt
Filed under: Carica papaya (papaya)
Lineage: Eukaryota; Viridiplantae; Streptophyta; Magnoliopsida; Brassicales; Caricaceae
Description: long non-coding RNA (CPAP_LNC014898)
Source: RNAcentral